CUAGAAUGCAGUGACUUAUGAGGACGUGCAUGUGAACUUCACUCAAGAGGAGUGGGCUCUGCUGGAUCCUUCUCAGAAGAAGCUCUACAAAGAUGUCAUGCUGGAGACCUACAGGAACCUCAAUGCUAUAGGCUUUAAUUGGGAAGCCCAAAAUAUUGAAGAAUAUUGUCAAAGUUCUAGAAGACACAGAAGGUGUGAAAGGAUUCAGAGUGCAGAGAAACCCUCUGAAUAUACUCAACGUGAUAAAGCCUUUGUUUUAUGUGCUCACAGUCAUGCUCAAAGGCAUGAAAGGAUUCAUACAGAAAAGAUGCCCUCUGAAGAUAUUCACUGUGUCGAAGACGUUUUACCUUACACUAGUCUCCAAGUACAUAAAAGAAC
Molecule: long non-coding RNA, 378 nt
Filed under: Mus musculus (house mouse)
Lineage: Eukaryota; Metazoa; Chordata; Mammalia; Rodentia; Muridae
Also listed under: 1 other name
Description: predicted gene, 49357
Source: RNAcentral